GGAGGGUAUAGCUCAGUGGUAGAGUGUGUGCUUAGCAUGCACAAUGUCCUGGGUUCAAUCCCCAGUACCUCUA
Molecule: transfer RNA, 73 nt
Filed under: Vicugna pacos (alpaca)
Lineage: Eukaryota; Metazoa; Chordata; Mammalia; Artiodactyla; Camelidae
Description: tRNA-Ala (AGC) (tRNA-Ala-AGC-713-1)
Rfam family: tRNA
About the family: Transfer RNA (tRNA) molecules are approximately 80 nucleotides in length. Their secondary structure includes four short double-helical elements and three loops (D, anti-codon, and T loops).
Source: RNAcentral